This 1434-nucleotide long non-coding RNA is filed under the name Piliocolobus tephrosceles (Ugandan red Colobus). RNAcentral's name for it is "lncRNA (ENSPTEG00000030364.1)". The record is from RNAcentral. Lineage: Eukaryota; Metazoa; Chordata; Mammalia; Primates; Cercopithecidae.
UAGGUAGAUGCUGCCUCUCAUGCCCCUGAAUUAGCCAAGAGGCACUCCAGCAGGAAACCUUGCUCUGCUUAUAUUGCAAAGGCGGCACCACUUCCUAUGCAGGCCCCUGCCCAGAGCACCUUGCCUGUGCAGCUGAGAAAUGUCAUGCUGCAGCAGGAGAGGGGGAUCAGCCACAGCCAAGAGUGCGCCCUGCCACCAUCUGUUGACCCAGGCUCCCUGGAGCUGGAUUCCACCCUGGCUCAAGACCUUUGAUGAAGUGCUGGCAUGGAGCAGAAACUCCCUUAAGCAGCAACCCCUUUUCCCCUUUGCCACCCACCCCCCACCAGCACCCCAUCCUAGGGAUGCCGCCCCAGGGCUCCUCUCAUGCGUCCCCAGGUUGGGGGAGGGGCAGCACUACUUCCUCAAUUCUCAACUUCAGGUUACUGCUACAGAGCCUCACACCUGAUCCAGCCUUGAGAAAGCGAUUAGAAUAUGACUGGAAAAAAUUGUUAGUGAUCCCCAAAUGUGUAGUAUAAAGAUACAGUAAAUGCUUCUACAAAAAUAGACAUGAAUGAAACAGGCUAGUCCGGGGCUUUCAAUACAGAGCGAUGAUAGAUAUAAUAUUAGAGAAAAUUAAAAAGCAGUGCUCCCCAAAGGGAGAAUAUCCCCAAAGAUAUUCCCAGAAACUGAAUAUAAAUGCAAAAGAUGAACAGGGCUACAGCUGUGGCCUGAUGGGUUCUGACUUUGGGUACAGUCAAGGGCAGCUGGGAGGUCAGGUCCUGUUGAGUACUGAGUGAUGAGAUAGAAUUAAAUUGCCCACUGAGGUAGGGAACCAGUGUCAUGGUCACUGUGAAAAUAUUAGGGACUGGGAUUCCUCUCUUGCCCACACUUCCACCCUCUUUAAGAAGACUGAAAUAGCUUGCUACUAACUUCGCCUGGGACUGUGGCCUAGGGAGGCCCAAGGUUAACAAACGGCACCACACCUGGGCUUAACUGAGCCUCCCACAGCCAUGGGGCUGGAUAUGAGUCAUCCCCAGCGUUAUCCCAGGGCAGGAGCCCUGACUGCCAUAUAAGACCUAGUCCUAAACACCCGCCCUUGGGAAGGGCAACUGCACAGCCACUAGACGGGGAGGACUGAGGAACAAGAGAAGGGAGAUAGAAAAAACCUGGAAAUGAACCUGGAAGCUGAAAUCCCAAAACACAGAAAAACUAACACUGAGAAAGGCAGCCAGCAACAUCAAUACUAAAGAGAGAUGCAUGCCAGGUGAAGUGAAAAGAAUAUAAUCUUUGGAAAGAGACUUCAGUAUCCUCAAAGAGGCAGUUAAACAUAUAAUGUUCACUUAAAAAUCAAGCCACUGUGAGAUUAAAACCAGGCAGAAACAUGCUGUCAUAUAACAACGGAACAGAAAAAUAUUAUGUAAUAAAUGGUUUGGGAGAAAUAAUUAUUAAUAUUUG